AGUGAACGCUGGCGGUAGGCCUAACACAUGCAAGUCGAACGGCAGCACAGUAAUAGCUUGCUCUUACGGGUGGCGAGUGGCGGACGGGUGAGGAAUACAUCGGAAUCUACUUUUUCGUGGGGGAUAACGUAGGGAAACUUACGCUAAUACCGCAUACGACCUACGGGUGAAAGCAGGGGAUCUUCGGACCUUGCGCGAUUGAAUGAGCCGAUGUCGGAUUAGCUAGUUGGCGGGGUAAAGGCCCACCAAGGCGACGAUCCGUAGCUGGUCUGAGAGGAUGAUCAGGCACACUGGAACUGAGACACGGUCCAGACUCCUACGGGAGGCAGCAGUGGGGAAUAUUGGACAAUGGGCGCAAGCCUGAUCCAGCCAUACAGCGUGGGUGAAGAAGGCCUGCGGGUUGUAAAGCCCUUUUGUUGGGAAAGAAAAGCAGCAGGUUAAUACCCCGCUGUUCUGACGGUACCCAAAGAAUAAGCACCGGCUAACUUCGUG
This 492-nucleotide ribosomal RNA is filed under the name uncultured bacterium. RNAcentral describes it as "partial 16S ribosomal RNA". It matches the Rfam family "Bacterial small subunit ribosomal RNA", at positions 29 to 507 of the family's 1533-position model. The record is from RNAcentral.